GAUGAACGCUAGCGGCAGGCUUAACACAUGCAAGUCGAGGGGCAGCGGGGAGAGUGCUUGCACUUUCCGCCGGCGACCGGCGCACGGGUGAGUAACACGUAUGCAACCUGCCCCUGUCAGGGGGACAACCUUCCGAAAUGCGGACUAAUCCCCCAUAGUCCCGCGGGCUGCAUGGCCUGCGGGGAAAGGCCAGCCGGUAGGGGAUGGGGCAAUGCGGCGCAUUAGCUAGUUGGCGGGGCAACGGGCCCACCAAGGCGACGAUGCGUAGGGGUUCUGAGAGGAAGGUCCCCCACGACUGGUACUGAGACACGGACCAGACUCCUACGGAGGCAGCAGUGAGGAAUA
This 345-nucleotide ribosomal RNA is filed under the name uncultured bacterium. Its description in RNAcentral is "bacterial SSU rRNA". It matches the Rfam family "Bacterial small subunit ribosomal RNA", at positions 28 to 363 of the family's 1533-position model. The record is from RNAcentral.